CCCUUAGAUGUUCUGGGCCGCACGCGCGCUACACUGAUGCAUUCAACGAGUCUAAAACCUGCUCUGAUAGGGGUGGGUAAUCUUUUGAAUGUGCAUCGUGAUUGGGAUAGAUGAUUGCAAUUUUCCAUCUUCAACGAGGAAUGCCUAGUAAACGCAAGUCAUCAGCUUGCAUUGAUUACGUCCCUGCCCUUUGUACACACCGCCCGUCGCUCCUACCGAUUGAAUGAUCCGAUGAAUAUCAUGGAUUGAGGAUUAUAGCAGGUUCGCCUGUCUUGAUCUUCGAGAAGUGAAGUAAAUCUUAUCAUUUAGAGGAAGGAGAAGUCGUAACA
Molecule: ribosomal RNA, 329 nt
Filed under: uncultured eukaryote
Lineage: Eukaryota
Description: partial 18S ribosomal RNA
Rfam family: Eukaryotic small subunit ribosomal RNA
Source: RNAcentral